CUUGCUCCCUCCACCUCCCAAACCAGUCAGAUCCACUCGGUGUCUUCCCCACCCCUCUCUUUGCCCAGCUCCCAGAUGCCACCACCUUUGUGUUUCCUUGUGUCUCUUUGCGGUGUUCCGGUCCAUCUUCUGAUGUAUUUCCUGUUUUUCUGCCUAUCGUGGUCACUCGCUGAGAUCUUAAUUAGUAUUUGUUCUUAUUAACUAUAAAUCCACUGAAUCACACUUGGACUUGCACUGGCUGCCACACACACAGAGCCUCCACCUUGGGGGUCUGCAGGCCUCCCAGGCUUGUUAGACUCGGGUGAACUUUUCUCUCAGACUUCGGGUCGCCCAGCUGGGCUGGCACCAUGGUGGUGGCAGGAAUCAGUGCACCACCCUCAGCAAAUGCGCCCUUCUCUGAGUCCUGCUAAUGCAAUCUAGCAGCCAAUUGACUUAAAUUCCUUCCGCUUUAUUGUUCUCCGUCCUUAGAGAGGCCAGUGCUCAGCAUCUAGCAGGGCUGCGAGGCAGGCCUCCGCCGAUCCUGGAGUUGUAAUUCCCCACUGCUGGCUGCUGCAGUUUUAUUACGGCCUUCUUUUUUCUGAGAUUGACAGACAUAAACCUCCAGUGUGGAGCCUGCGACAGCACCCUUAAAGGCUUCUCUGUGUGGACACGUAACCUUAGGACAAAGUGGGCGCAGCUCCAGGAAAGGCACAGCAGCCUGCUACAGGGAAGGACUGUGCUGGGGCAGACCUCAGGGUUUCUUCUUCUGGCUGGCUCCCUGGGAAGCCUCCCAGGGACAAUGCUUUCUUCCUCUAAGUAGAAUUUUUUGUGGGGGGCCUUCGGGAGAUUGGGAAUACUGCGAGAGGAGACCUGUGGUGGCUGUCCAGGGAACUCCACAUGCAACCAGAGGAACAAGAUGUCCUUCCUUGAGUGAAACCAGAAGGUGUUUUCCCGUCUCUGUCGAAAGAAGUCAUGUGCUGGUCUGGAGAGAACUGAAUUCAGAACCCAAAGCACCUCUGAUUAUCCACUGCUUAGGCAGAACACAGGCAGAAGAUAAAGUGUUCCUGUUAAUGUGCUUCCGCUCUCCCCUAAAGGAGUGAUUUCCAGGAGUGGAGAGGAAGACCAUGUCUACAGAAAUCUUGGCAACCUCUUAUCCAGGAAGACUAUGGAGAUUUCAUGAUCUUGCUGUUGUUUGCAACAAGACUUUAUAGAUGAGGAAACAGGCUCGGAACAGUUGCAGGACUCGAGGAGCUGAGUGUCGGAGCCAGGAAUCAAACAGCUGUGAGGGUCAGGCUCCAGGCCUGUUUUCCUCUCAUUCUUCCUCACCACGGCGCCCACAGUGCAGCAUUCCACCUGGUGCUAAGGCCGUCAGGACAGGCUACAAAAUACUAUUGUACCCACAACGUACUUGUAGCUACUCUAGUUCCAACAGAACCCAACAUCAG
RNAcentral lists this long non-coding RNA (1424 nucleotides) under Equus caballus (horse). Its description in RNAcentral is "lncRNA (ENSECAG00000051371.1)". The record is from RNAcentral. Lineage: Eukaryota; Metazoa; Chordata; Mammalia; Perissodactyla; Equidae.